UACGAAGGGGGCUAGCGUUGUUCGGAAUUACUGGGCGUAAAGCGCGCGCAGGCGGCUAUCCAAGUCAGUGGUGAAAGCCCGGAGCUCAACUCCGGAACUGCCAUUGAAACUGUUUAGCUUGAGGAUGAGAGAGGUGAGUGGAAUUCCCAGUGUAGAGGUGAAAUUCGUAGAUAUUGGGAAGAACACCGGGGGCGAAGGCGGCUCACUGGCUCAUUACUGACGCUCAGGCGCGAAAGCGUGGGGAUCAAACAGG
RNAcentral lists this ribosomal RNA (253 nucleotides) under uncultured bacterium. Its description in RNAcentral is "partial 16S ribosomal RNA". It matches the Rfam family "Bacterial small subunit ribosomal RNA", at positions 524 to 776 of the family's 1533-position model. The record is from RNAcentral.